AUGCUUUUGUUCAGGAGAGAAGGUUAGCAGUCCCCUUGGCAAGGAUGGAAAAGGCCCUUUGGGCCUUACAACAUGCAUGCGGUUGAGGCAUUGCCACCUACUUUGUGGUGUCUAACUACAGUUUGGA
Loxodonta africana (African savanna elephant) is the source of this 127-nucleotide small nuclear RNA. The record is from Ensembl. NCBI's taxonomy places the organism in Eukaryota, Metazoa, Chordata, Mammalia, Proboscidea, Elephantidae.